UACGAAGGGGGCUAGCGUUGUUCGGAUUUACUGGGCGUAAAGGGUGCGUAGGCGGUGCAAUAAGUCAGGCGUGAAAGCCCCGGGCUCAACCCGGGAAUUGCGCUUGAUACUGUUGCGCUUGAAUCCAGGAGAGGAUGGCGGAAUUCCCAGUGUAGAGGUGAAAUUCGUAGAUAUUGGGAAGAACACCAGUGGCGAAGGCGGCCAUCUGGCCUGGAAUUGACGCUGAGGCGCGAAAGCGUGGGGAGCAAACAGG
RNAcentral lists this ribosomal RNA (253 nucleotides) under uncultured bacterium. RNAcentral describes it as "partial 16S ribosomal RNA". It matches the Rfam family "Bacterial small subunit ribosomal RNA", at positions 524 to 776 of the family's 1533-position model. The record is from RNAcentral.